This 267-nucleotide long non-coding RNA is filed under the name Aotus nancymaae (Ma's night monkey). RNAcentral's name for it is "lncRNA (ENSANAG00000039538.1)". The record is from RNAcentral. Lineage: Eukaryota; Metazoa; Chordata; Mammalia; Primates; Aotidae.
AUGCUAAAAGGAAAGCUUAGAUGGGAUCUGUGGUCAGGGACAAUUUCUACUUCUGAAGAUGAAAUUCCUCCUGUACUUUCUUCAUCAGUCUCUUCUAAAGUUUCCAUUCUCAGGGUUCUGCUAAUUCAAACUCUUCUUGUCAGCAGAAUUCAGUAUACAAUCCAAAAAGAAGAGAACAAGAUUCCAUAUAAUGCGCUGUUCCGAGGAAAUGUUAACAGUCAAUGUCUGCAGCUGACAUCCGCUAAAACAAUGCAGCACAAGAUCUAA